Picea glauca (white spruce) is the source of this 122-nucleotide non-coding RNA. The record is from Rfam. NCBI's taxonomy places the organism in Eukaryota, Viridiplantae, Streptophyta, Pinopsida, Pinales, Pinaceae.
AUGUAAAUUCCUACAACAUAGUGUAAUGCACCUGAUCCCAUUAGAACUUCAUAGUUAAGUGCGCUCAAGCUAGAGUAGUAUUAGUAUGGGUGACCGCUCAAGAAGUCCUAGUGUUUUACAUG